This 564-nucleotide ribosomal RNA is filed under the name Ascomycota sp. Its description in RNAcentral is "eukaryotic LSU rRNA". The stretch from base 160 to 313 matches the Rfam family "5.8S ribosomal RNA". Lineage: Eukaryota; Fungi; Ascomycota. The record is from RNAcentral.
UGUACCUCUCCCCUUUUGCUUCCCCGGGGCCGCCCCAUCCGGGCGCGCCCCGGGGGAGGUCAGGAGGCCGGGUCUGCUCUGCGCGGCCGGGCCCCCGAAGCUCUUCCACGUUCCGUCUGGAUGUCUGUCUGAACACAACCUAAGAAAUAAUCUUUAAAAAACUUUCAACAACGGAUCUCUUGGUUCUCGCAUCGAUGAAGAACGCAGCGAAAUGCGAUAAGUAGUGUGAAUUGCAGAAUUCCGUGAAUCAUCGAAUCUUUGAACGCACAUUGCGCCCCCUGGUAUUCCGGGGGGCAUGCCCGUUCGAGCGUCAUCAAUACCAACUCAAGCGAGAUUUUGCGAAAUCGCUUGGUCAUGGGUUCGGGGCGCCGCCUUCAGGGGCGGGGCCCCCCUCCCCAAUUCCAUGGAGCGGAGCCCGGUGUUUGGGCGUCGGAAGUAAUAAGCACAUUUCCUCUGACGUUUCCCAGCCGUAUGUCUCCUGCCCGCCAAAGCUCCCAAUUGUCUUCAAGGCAUGACCUCGGAUGGGUAGGGAUACCCGCUGAACUUAAGCAUAUCAAUAAGCGG